GAUUGACGCUGGCGGCAUGCCUUACACAUGCAAGUCGAACGGCAGCACGGGAGAAAUCCUGGUGGCGAGUGGCGAACGGGUGAGUAACAUAUCGGAACGUGCCCAUCAGUGGGGGAUAGCCCGGCGAAAGCCGGAUUAAUACCGCAUACGACCUACGGGUGAAAGCAGGGGAUCGCAAGACCUUGCGCUAUUGGAGCGGCCGAUAUCAGAUUAGCUUGUUGGGGGGUAAGAGCCUACCAAGGCGACGAUCUGUAGCUGGUCUGAGAGGACGACCAGCCACACUGGGACUGAGACACGGCCCAGACUCCUACGGGAGGCAGCAGUGGGGAAUUUUGGACAAUGGGCGCAAGCCUGAUCCAGCCAUGCCGCGUGC
RNAcentral lists this ribosomal RNA (373 nucleotides) under uncultured bacterium. Its description in RNAcentral is "bacterial SSU rRNA". It matches the Rfam family "Bacterial small subunit ribosomal RNA", at positions 28 to 404 of the family's 1533-position model. The record is from RNAcentral.